Long non-coding RNA from Pipistrellus kuhlii (Kuhl's pipistrelle), 231 nucleotides. RefSeq lists it as uncharacterized. The transcript is spliced from 2 exons. NCBI's taxonomy places the organism in Eukaryota, Metazoa, Chordata, Mammalia, Chiroptera, Vespertilionidae. The record is from RefSeq and is a predicted model, not a curated record.
UCCUCACCCCUCACCCCCAACCUUUGCAAAAGAGGUGUGAGGCCUCUUAGGGGACUUGGAAAGUCCUGGAUGAAUUCCAUUCUAACUUAUUUUGAUGUGUAUACAAACCAACUGUUUAGAAAUUCCAUUUGUGCAGAGCCCUACUGUGUUUUUAUGUUCCUGUUUAAAAGAGAAGUUUAGGCUCUCUUCCGCCAUGCUUUAGCAAUAAUUAUAAAUAAAUGAAUAUUCUUU